GAAGGGGCAGCUGGGACAUGGGGACACCAAGAGAGUGGAAGCCCCCAGACUCAUCGAGGGUCUCAGCCACAAAGUGAUCGUAUCUGCAGCAUGUGGGCAGAACCACACCUUGGCCUUGAGGGAAACUGGCUCCGUGUUUGCAUUUGGGGAGAACAAGAUGGGGCAGCUGGGCCUUGGCAACCAGACAGACACUGUCCACAGCCCCGCGCAGAUAAUGUACAAUGGCCAGCCAAUUACCAAAAUGGCCUGUGGGGGCUGAAUUCAGUAUGAUAAUAGACUGCAGAGGAAACCUCUGUUCCUUUGGGUGCCCUGAAUAUGGUCAGCUGGGACACAACUCGGAUGGGAAGUUCAUUGCCUGGCCACAGCAGAUAGAAUACGACUGCAAACUGGUGCCCCUGCAAGUGGCCAUCUUCAUCGAGAAGACCAAAAAUUGACAGAUGCUGCCUGUACCAAACGUGGUUGUGCAAGAUGUGGCCAGUGGCACCAACCACACUCUGGUUCUGGACUCCCAGAAGCAAGUCUUCUCUGGGGCUCCAGUGGCUAUGGCUGGCUGGGCCAUGCAGAGCAGAAGGAUGAGAUGGUCCCCCGCCUGGUGAAGCUGUUUGACUUUUCUGGACGUGGGGUGUCCCAGAUCUAUGCUGGUUAUACCUGCUUCUUUGCCAUCAGUGAAGUGGGUGGUCUGUUUUUCUGGGGGUCACCAACACCUCCCAUGAAUCUACCGUGUACCCGAAAGCAGUGCAGGACCUCUGUGGCUGGAGAAUACGGAGCCUGGCUUGUGGAAAGAGCAGCAUCACUGUGGCCACCAAUGAGAGCACCAUCAGCUGGGGCCCGUCGCCGACCUUCGGGGAACACGGCUAUGGGGACCACAAGCCCAAGUCUUCCACUGCAGCCCAAGAGGUGAAGACUCUGGAUAGCAUUUUCUCAGAGCAGGUCGCCAAGGGCUACUCACACACCUUGGUGAUAGCAAGAGACAAAUGCUAGACUGAGAAAGAGAAGAUCAAGAAACUGCCAGAAUACAACCCCCCAACCCUCUGA
RNAcentral lists this long non-coding RNA (1035 nucleotides) under Homo sapiens (human). RNAcentral's name for it is "non-protein coding lnc-COL25A1-2:1". Lineage: Eukaryota; Metazoa; Chordata; Mammalia; Primates; Hominidae. The record is from RNAcentral.